AUGAUUAGAACAUCUCAGGACUCUCCACCAACUAUCCAACAUCCCAGCUGGAAGACCAAUAUUACUAAUAAGAUGUCUUUUUGUUUCUCAGAGGAUUAUGGGGCCAUCAAAGAAACCGCAAUUUCCCAAAGGCAAACCAGCCAGCUGUCAUCCUCCUUCUGCUUAAUUCUGGGUUUCACCUCCAUGGAUCAAGAUGUCCCACCCAGGAUAAACUUAUCACUUCUACACUCCCUAUCAUGCUGCUAACUCAAACCUUACCAAUCCUACCUUCCUCAGCCUCCUCUCCCCUCUGUUUGGAGGACUGAGUACCAAAUUCCUCCAACCGCCUUCCUUUAUGAAGAACAGACACUGAACUCUGAAGUCCUUGCUCCAAUCUGCAUCUGCUGUCCUGCAUGGUUUCAACUCUGUGAAACAAGAUGCUCCCCCCAUUCCUUGGUGUCCUAUCAUCCCCUGACCCAUGCACACACUUUCCUGCCUCCUUUUGGAUGUGGUCUAGAACUUUGGAUUAUAAACUCCAUGAGGGCAAGGGCUGUCUUCCUUUUUAUUAAUC
RNAcentral lists this long non-coding RNA (550 nucleotides) under Monodelphis domestica (gray short-tailed opossum). RNAcentral's name for it is "lncRNA (ENSMODG00000051188.1)". Lineage: Eukaryota; Metazoa; Chordata; Mammalia; Didelphimorphia; Didelphidae. The record is from RNAcentral.